Cucurbita pepo subsp. pepo (vegetable marrow) is the source of this 625-nucleotide non-coding RNA. Lineage: Eukaryota; Viridiplantae; Streptophyta; Magnoliopsida; Cucurbitales; Cucurbitaceae. The record is from RefSeq and is a predicted model, not a curated record.
AAUAAAAUAACAAAAUGAAGAAGACCAAAUGAAACCCUUCGUUUGGGAAUAAGGGUUCUUCGCAUUUCUAAGCAAAUCGAGCUCGUAGAACUCAGUUUUCGUGAGCACUGAGGUCGGUGACGAUCAAAGCUUAGCUGAAAGUUCGAACGGCGGAGAUCGGAGAAACGUCGAGGAAUCGGUGAAAAUGGGAGCAGCGAGUAAAGUGGGCGAUUGGGCGUUCAAAGCCUUUACCGCCGGUCUAGGUGUCGCCACCAUUUACCUCACUGCUACCUUCUCAGUCAACGUCUACAGAGGAUUGUCUUGGCACAAAGCUCAAUCCAAAAUCAUCGACGACAAUACCAACGACGAGGCUACAUAAUUUGAAUUUUCGAGCCACGGGAUAUCUACGUUCAUCUACAAAUUUUGUAUGAUCAGGUUCUAAAUUGGUUUGAAUGCUUCACUUUAUACCUCAUCUUUCUUGGGAAGAGCAGGAACACUUUCUGUUUGAAUGUUUAGCAUAAAUUGGGUAUGGUGAUGAAGAGCAUGUUUCAUAAAUUUUCAGCAACUUUUCUAAUGGGAAUUGCUUUAGGUGCCUACUUAUGCAUCUUGUAGGUGUUUUUUCUUAUUGUUGUUUAUCAUUGGAUCA